AUAGCCUAGGAGAUACACCUGUUCCCAUGCCGAACACAGAAGUUAAGCCCUAGUACGCCUGAUGUAGUUGGGGGUUGCCCCUUGUUAGAUACGGUAGUCGCUUAGC
RNAcentral lists this ribosomal RNA (106 nucleotides) under Streptococcus thermophilus. Lineage: Bacteria; Bacillati; Bacillota; Bacilli; Lactobacillales; Streptococcaceae. The record is from RNAcentral.